Molecule: ribosomal RNA, 738 nt
Filed under: Pseudomonas sp.
Lineage: Bacteria; Pseudomonadati; Pseudomonadota; Gammaproteobacteria; Pseudomonadales; Pseudomonadaceae
Description: bacterial SSU rRNA
Rfam family: Bacterial small subunit ribosomal RNA
Source: RNAcentral
GUCUUUACGGUAGAGAGGUGCUUGCACCUCUUGAGAGCGGCGGACGGGUGAGUAAUGCCUAGGAAUCUGCCUGGUAGUGGGGGAUAACGCUCGGAAACGGACGCUAAUACCGCAUACGUCCUACGGGAGAAAGCAGGGGACCUUCGGGCCUUGCGCUAUCAGAUGAGCCUAGGUCGGAUUAGCUAGUUGGUGGGGUAAUGGCUCACCAAGGCGACGAUCCGUAACUGGUCUGAGAGGAUGAUCAGUCACACUGGAACUGAGACACGGUCCAGACUCCUACGGGAGGCAGCAGUGGGGAAUAUUGGACAAUGGGCGAAAGCCUGAUCCAGCCAUGCCGCGUGUGUGAAGAAGGUCUUCGGAUUGUAAAGCACUUUAAGUUGGGAGGAAGGGCAUUAACCUAAUACGUUAGUGUUUUGACGUUACCGACAGAAUAAGCACCGGCUAACUCUGUGCCAGCAGCCGCGGUAAUACAGAGGGUGCAAGCGUUAAUCGGAAUUACUGGGCGUAAAGCGCGCGUAGGUGGUUCGUUAAGUUGGAUGUGAAAGCCCCGGGCUCAACCUGGGAACUGCAUUCAAAACUGUCGAGCUAGAGUAUGGUAGAGGGUGGUGGAAUUUCCUGUGUAGCGGUGAAAUGCGUAAGAUAUAGGAAGGACACCAGUGGCGAAGGCGACCACCUGGAACUGAUACUGACACUGAGGUGCGAAAGCGUGGGGAGCAAACGGGAUAAAAUACCCUGGUA